Molecule: ribosomal RNA, 424 nt
Filed under: uncultured prokaryote
Description: bacterial SSU rRNA
Rfam family: Bacterial small subunit ribosomal RNA
Source: RNAcentral
UGGGGAAUUUUCCGCAAUGGGCGCAAGCCUGACGGAGCAAUACCGCGUGAGGGAGGAAGGCUUUUGGGUUGUAAAGCCCUUUCACCGGGGAAGAUGAUGACAUUACCCGGAGAAGAAGCGCCGGCUAACUCCGUGCCAGCAGCCGCGGUAAGACGGAGGGCGCUAGCGUUGUUCGGAAUCACUGGGCGUAAAGGGCGCGUAGGCGGCUGUUUAAGUCGAGGGUGAAAGCCCGGGGCUCAACCCCGGAACGGCCUUCGAGACUGGGCAGCUCGAGACCGGAAGAGGAGGGUGGAAUACCCAGUGUAGAGGUGAAAUUCGUAGAUAUUGGGUGGAACACCAGUGGCGAAAGCGGCUCUCUGGUCCGGAUCUGACGCUGAGGCGCGAAAGCGUGGGGAGCAAACAGGAUUAGAUACCCCUGUAGUCC